This 377-nucleotide unclassified non-coding RNA is filed under the name uncultured Parachlamydiaceae bacterium. RNAcentral describes it as "contains 16S-23S intergenic spacer region". Lineage: Bacteria; Pseudomonadati; Chlamydiota; Chlamydiia; Parachlamydiales; Parachlamydiaceae. The record is from RNAcentral.
UCCUGGUUAACCCAGGCAGUCUCAUUAGAGUUCCCACCUUAAAUGUUGGCAACUAAUGAUAAGGGUUGCGCUCGUUGCGGGACUUAACCCAACACCUCACGGCACGAGCUGACGACAGCCAUGCAGCACCUGUGCACAGGCCCCGAAGGGCGAUAACAUCUCUGCUAUCUUCCUGUGCAUGUCAAAUCUGGGUAAGGUUCUUCGCGUUGCAUCGAAUUAAACCACAUGCUCCACUGCUUGUGCGGGUCCCCGUCAAUUCUUUUGAGUUUCAGCCUUGCGACUGUACUCCCCAGGCGGUAUACUUAUCGCGUUAGCUUCGGCACAACCAGGGUUGAGUCCGGUUACACCAAGUAUACAUCGUUUACAGCUAGGACUAC